GCCUAAUCACAUCGACUAGCCUCCUGCCUAAUCUCCUCCAAUACUUUUCCAUUAGCUCACCCCAGCAUUUAAAAACUCUUCCACUUUUUGUUUCAAAUGGCAUUGAGUUCAAUCUCCCCUAUUGCAAUAGUCUUGAAUAAUCUUCCCUGCUGUUUUAAAGAAAUGCCUGGUGCAAUUUCUCUUGGCUAUCCCACAUCUCAGGAAUCACUGGAAAACUGGGGAGGAGAUCUUUGGACUGGGCACAGCCAUGCAGUAUGGUAGAUCUGGGUUGGGAGUACCUGCCUAGAAUCUUUUUUUUUUUUUUUUUUUUUUUUUUAAGGAACUACCCCUCCCUACUCUCCAUAGCUUUGUGGGAACUGCCAAUCAAUGUGCCUCCCCUCUCUAUUCCCCCGCCAAGUGGUGGACAAACGAUCGGGGCUGAGCUGGACCUGUGAAACUCUCAAGGAGUGGACAUCUCCAAAAUUGACCACAUCUACAAAGAUUUGACAAAUCCAUUCCAGGGCAUGGUCAAAAAAAUAAAAUAGAUAAAAACUGUUGUUCUUAAAAAGUCUGAAUACAGAAAGAAUAUCUCUUAAUCUAAUGCUCAGUAACAACUCAGACAGAGGCACAAGAUCAGCCUGAUGGAUGUUUGAAGACAUAAAAAUUGUACUUUUUUCAUAUUUAAUUCAGAUAUCAUGCCUUGUAUAGUCUUACGCUGAAGAAAUACACACGAGAACGGAAUGGCUACCAUGCUUUGGAUACACACACAGGUGUAUACAGCCGUCCCUUUUAUCCUCGGUUUCUCUUUCACGAGUUUCAGUUACCUGUGGUCAAUAGUGGUCUGAAAAUAGGUUCUUCUCAUGAUUGUUGCAGAGAAGCAAUUAAAAGGGAAGUCAGAAGGCAUGCAAGGGGAAUUUCCAGAGGAGGCCCGAUGAAAGAAAGAACUUGAAAUUGUGAAGUCAUAUAUAUAAAACAGUAAAAUGCAGCAGAUGAGAAGUAAAAUAAGUAAGUGGAUGGUGAAACAUUCCAAACAUACAUGCGUGCAGGUAUAUAUACAUACAUAUGCAUGUAUAUGUAGACAUGCACUUUUGUAUGGUUCUGAAAUAUAUCAAUAUGUGUG
This 1099-nucleotide long non-coding RNA is filed under the name Homo sapiens (human). RNAcentral describes it as "HSALNT0097286". Lineage: Eukaryota; Metazoa; Chordata; Mammalia; Primates; Hominidae. The record is from RNAcentral.